CAGCUCUGUUUUAAGCACCUCUGUGUCCCCAAGCCCCGCGAUACUUAACUUCUGACGGAGGCCCCUGUGGACACAGAGCCUUAACCCAGAGGAAUGGAUUUAUUUCUUCCCUUGGAAACAACCCGCUGAAGCACAAUUUAAAGUAAUACGUGCCUUUUAAAGAAAAUUUGGAAAGUUCAGAGGUGGAAAGAAGGAGUAGGAAUCACCUGGAGCCCUUCCCACCUGUCCCUGCCCCUGCUCAUUACGGUUUUGGAACACGGCUGGAGUCAAGUCGCGCGUGCAGCUUUAUGUCCUGCGUUUCUCACACGUCCCUCGCAGUCCUCGCUGUAAAUGACUGUGUCGUGUGGAGAAGAUUCACCAAAGUCUUCUCAACAUCUUCCUCAUCAUUGGACAGCCGUUUCCAGCUUUUUUUUUUUUUUUUUGGAAAGUAAUGCCNNNNNNNNNNNNNNNNNNNNNNNUUUUUUUUUCUUUCUGCAUGUAGCGUCGUUUAGAGGUGGAAUGACUGAAAUUCCAGGUGGACUUCCUGGGUUACAGAGAUGUUGCUGGUGUGGGCGGUCAGGGUCUCUCCAAAGGGAGCAUCAGUUCAAGACCCACCAGCAGAUGGUGUGGUUGUGGCCACCCACCCUAGGCAGCCUUAGCUGUGCUUGCCUGCGUGAGCAUGCAUGCGAGCGAAGUUGCUCAGCUGUGUCCGACUCUUUUUGACGCCAUAGACUCUAGCCUGCCAGGCCUCUCUGUCCCAGGGAUUCUCCACGCAGGAACACUGGAGUGGGCUGCCAUGCCCUUCUGCACGGCUCUGGCUGAUUUACUGUGAAAAGCUGUUUUCAGCUGAUGGCUGAGCACGGUCCUGUGGCUUUCAUCUGUUUUCCUUUGGUCCCUUCCGAGAUCACUGUGUAGGAGAGAGAUCCGGUGCCCAGCCGGUGCCCAGAGGACAGGGCGGGGCCGUGCCCAUCUUCCUGCACGUGUGAGGGGGCAGAGUCAGGCUCUGACAGUGCGACUCGACUUGUUCACGACGACCCCAGCCCGGUGACGCGUCCCAUGGGAUGUGAGCUCUCAGCAGGGCGGACGCAGGCAGCCUGCUUGGAAGACAGAGGCCUCAGAGUGAGACCUGAGCAGAGGGUCCCGGCAGGGGUGGGGGGCGCCCUUUUGCCCCCAGGGGACAUCUGCAGUGGCCGGAGACGCUUGAGGUUGUUACACCUGGCGGGAGAGGGGCUGCUUCUGUCCCCUGGGGGGAGUGGACGUGGAGUGAGAGGCUCGGGGGGGCCUUCCGGGUCCUGCUGGGGGAUGGAGGUAGGGUGAGGAGUG
Molecule: long non-coding RNA, 1302 nt
Filed under: Capra hircus (goat)
Lineage: Eukaryota; Metazoa; Chordata; Mammalia; Artiodactyla; Bovidae
Description: lncRNA (ENSCHIG00010015158.1)
Source: RNAcentral